This 123-nucleotide small RNA is filed under the name Salmonella enterica. RNAcentral describes it as "RtT sRNA". It matches the Rfam family "RtT RNA". From Rfam's summary of the family: This family represents a bacterial cis-regulatory element known as RtT RNA. The exact function of RtT is unknown although it is thought that it may be involved in changing the cellular response in relation to amino acid starvation. The record is from RNAcentral. Lineage: Bacteria; Pseudomonadati; Pseudomonadota; Gammaproteobacteria; Enterobacterales; Enterobacteriaceae.
CUAUCUGCGAUAUGGAAGAUUCGAACCUGCCGCAGGUUCGGGUCGAACGCAGUGAGACAACGGAGCCGUUUACGGCGACGGCCCGAAGGGCGAGCGAAGCGAGUCAUCCUGCACGACCCACCA